Molecule: long non-coding RNA, 1201 nt
Organism: Varroa destructor (honeybee mite)
Lineage: Eukaryota; Metazoa; Arthropoda; Arachnida; Mesostigmata; Varroidae
Source: RefSeq, a predicted model, not a curated record
AGUGCACUAUAUACACACCAAUAUAUAUUGGUGUGUAUAUAGUGCACUAGUAUAUAUAUGUAUAUUUGCUGUUUUGUGUUUACUUCAUGUAACAGCCUACGUGCUAGCAUAGCACAUAUACGUUAGAAGACAACGCGUAGUGAUGGCAAAAGAGGAACAUUCUACGAUAGCAUAAGCGAUUGGAGCAUAAAACGAAUAUCGACCAGGUACCCCCCGCACCUCGCAUGGAGUCGGCGCUUGUGUGUACUUCAAAAAUCACCAUUAAAAGAUUCGACAUUACUGCUGUGAGGAACCUCUGCCAGGCACACCUCUUUUUGUACUUUGAUUUUUUCAGACAUUCAAUCAGACGACUGGCUCACAACACGAAAAAAGUACGCCUAUGCCUGGAUUCGAAUCGAGACUGCAAAGUGUUCCUAAAAUUAGCACUCCGCUACGCUACCCACGAAGCUAUGGCUGAGAGCAUGAGAAGUAAUUUUGUUGACUUCCGGUUAACGGGAAGCUGACCACGAAGUAAAUAACAGUUGAAUGCUGGUCAGUAAGGAAGCGGUAAAGCGACGGCAGAUGGUACAGCAGAUAUAGACUGAGACAGAAUUGGCCAAUCUGACGGACGUACUAGACCACGAGGAGAUGCGAGCGCUUACUCAAUCUAAAAACCGGAAAUGCGGCCGGAAGUGGACAAGCCUGAGGUCGGAGUGACGCAUCGUGGUAGACUCCCUUUAUGGUCAUCCUUCAAAAGGACCUCAGUUGCGAGUGCCUUAUACAAGACCAAUGCAGACUUCAGCGCUGUUGUGUGGCGAGCAGCACUACUGAGUCACCAAUCAAGCAGAAUCAUCUUUAGCAUAUUUACUGCUUCAUGAUAUAUGCGCCAUAAAGAUUGAAGAUUUGCCCAUUUUACGGUAAGAUAAGUGAUUCAAAAACAAAAUCGUCUCAGUGGGGUGAGAUCAAAUCGCAAUAGAGAUCAGGCGCAAUUCGCGCCGCCAGUCGAUCGCUGAAGAAUCCAUUUAUUCUGUAAAGGCGCACUCUGCAGGACACUGGCGUGGCUCCUGUGGGGCAACAGAUCUACACAUCCCUGACGGACUGCGUAUCUGAAUUGAUCAAAUGCCUCGAGAAGUGAGACACAAUGCUCAAGUGAUUCGCCUAUAUAGAAGACACCAUCAAUUCUCCUAUUUUCCUCGGAACUCGCACGGUAACAUUUAAUUGA